RNAcentral lists this ribosomal RNA (253 nucleotides) under uncultured bacterium. RNAcentral describes it as "partial 16S ribosomal RNA". It matches the Rfam family "Bacterial small subunit ribosomal RNA", at positions 524 to 776 of the family's 1533-position model. The record is from RNAcentral.
UACAGAGGUCUCAAGCGUUGUUCGGAUUCAUUGGGCGUAAAGGGUGCGUAGGCGGCGCGGUAAGUCGGGUGUGAAAUCUCGGGGCUUAACUCCGAAACUGCAUUCGAUACUGCGGUGCUUGAGGACUGGAGAGGAGACUGGAAUUUACGGUGUAGCAGUGAAAUGCGUAGAGAUCGUAAGGAAGACCAGUGGCGAAGGCGGGUCUCUGGACAGUUCCUGACGCUGAGGCACGAAGGUCAGGGGAGCAAACGGG